GACGAACGCUGGCGGCGUGCUUAACACAUGCAAGUCGAACGGAAAGGCCCUGCUUUUGUGGGGUGCUCGAGUGGCGAACGGGUGAGUAACACGUGAGUAACCUGCCCUUGACUUUGGGAUAACUUCAGGAAACUGGGGCUAAUACCGGAUAGGAGCUCCUGCUGCAUGGUGGGGGUUGGAAAGUUUCGGCGGUUGGGGAUGGACUCGCGGCUUAUCAGCUUGUUGGUGGGGUAGUGGCUUACCAAGGCUUUGACGGGUAGCCGGCCUGAGAGGGUGACCGGUCACAUUGGGACUGAGAUACGGCCCAGACUCCUACGGGAGGCAGCAGUGGGGAAUAUUGCACAAUGGGCGGAAGCCUGAUGCAGCAACGCCGCGUGCGGGAUGACGGCCUUCGGGUUGGAAACCGCUUUCGCCUGUGACGAAGCGUGAGUGACGGUAAUGGGUAAAGAAGCACCGGCGAACUACGG
RNAcentral lists this ribosomal RNA (467 nucleotides) under uncultured bacterium. RNAcentral's name for it is "partial 16S ribosomal RNA". It matches the Rfam family "Bacterial small subunit ribosomal RNA", at positions 28 to 506 of the family's 1533-position model. The record is from RNAcentral.